AUUGAACGCUGGCGGCAGGCCUAACACAUGCAAGUCGAGCGAGCGGCGGACGGGUGAGUAAUGUCUGGGAAACUGCCUGAUGGAGGGGGAUAACUACUGGAAACGGUAGCUAAUACCGCAUACCAUCAGAUGUGCCCAGAUGGGAUUAGCUAGUAGGUGGGGUAACGGCUCACCUAGGCGACGAUCCCUAGCUGGUCUGAGAGGAUGACCAGCCACACUGUAACUGAGACAGGGUCCAGACUCCUAGGGGAGGCAGCAGUGGGGAAUAUGGAACAAUGGGCGCAAGCCUGAUGCAGCCAGGCGGCGUGUGUGAAGAAGGCCUUCGGGUUGUAAGGCACUUUCAGCGGGGAGGCUUUACCCGCAUAGGAAGCACCGGCUAACUCCGUGCCGGCGGCCGCGGUAAUU
This 405-nucleotide ribosomal RNA is filed under the name uncultured bacterium. RNAcentral's name for it is "partial 16S ribosomal RNA". It matches the Rfam family "Bacterial small subunit ribosomal RNA", at positions 30 to 525 of the family's 1533-position model. The record is from RNAcentral.